Molecule: ribosomal RNA, 577 nt
Filed under: Trichoderma harzianum
Lineage: Eukaryota; Fungi; Ascomycota; Sordariomycetes; Hypocreales; Hypocreaceae
Description: eukaryotic LSU rRNA
Rfam family: 5.8S ribosomal RNA (bases 185-338)
Source: RNAcentral
AAACCCAAUGUGAACGUUACCAAACUGUUGCCUCGGCGGGAUCUCUGCCCCGGGUGCGUCGCAGCCCCGGACCAAGGCGCCCGCCGGAGGACCAACCUAAAACUCUUAUUGUAUACCCCUCGCGGGUUUUUUUAUAAUCUGAGCCUUCUCGGCGCCUCUCGUAGGCGUUUCGAAAAUGAAUCAAAACUUUCAACAACGGAUCUCUUGGUUCUGGCAUCGAUGAAGAACGCAGCGAAAUGCGAUAAGUAAUGUGAAUUGCAGAAUUCAGUGAAUCAUCGAAUCUUUGAACGCACAUUGCGCCCGCCAGUAUUCUGGCGGGCAUGCCUGUCCGAGCGUCAUUUCAACCCUCGAACCCCUCCGGGGGGUCGGCGUUGGGGAUCGGCCUCCCUCACCGGGGGCCGUCUCCGAAAUACAGUGGCGGUCUCGCCGCAGCCUCUCCUGCGCAGUAGUUUGCACACUCGCAUCGGGAGCGCGGCGCGUCCACAGCCGUUAAACACCCCAAAUUUCUGAAAUGUUGACCUCGGAUCAGGUAGGAAUACCCGCUGAACUUAAGCAUAUCAAUAAGCGGAGGAAAAGA